Non-coding RNA from Paramuricea clavata, 1220 nucleotides. Lineage: Eukaryota; Metazoa; Cnidaria; Anthozoa; Malacalcyonacea; Plexauridae. The record is from the annotation of a GenBank genome assembly.
CCUAAAAACACAACUGGAAUGUAUCUCUAUACUCUAUCAAUGCUGGGCUAUUUGCAAUCGGCGAAGAUUUCAUCAACUUUUAGAGACAAACAUAGCGAUUCUUCUGAUGUGAAUCUCACGGCAUUGAAACUGAACAUACGAUAACCCAUAGGAACCAACAGCAUAGGCUCUCACGAUACACAAUGAACAAAAAGAAGACCGUGUCCUUCCAAAACUGAAGCUUUAUGGCGGUGAAUCGGCUAAUACAAAAUCCGCCAUAUUUCUCACUCUUGUUGUUUUGAUAGUGAAGGUCAAGCCACAGAGUAUACAGAGGCGGAACUCGCGGCGAUUCCUUUGUUCUUUGUGUCCCCGUGCAACGUCAUUUCCACGCGCCACGCAAAUUGCUCUGGCAAGUGUCAUUCGUCGUGUUUUCAGUCAAAAGCAUAGGAAAAACACCGUUCGAAAGUAGAAAAAUAGAUAUUUUUGCGAAGUUGCUCAACCGAUCUUCAUUUUGGAACUCAAAUUUGAAAGAUAAAUGGUAAGUGGUUAUUUUUAUGUAAAAAUAUAUACGUUUAUAGGCUAAAUACAAAGAAAAAAUAGUAUAAUACAAAUUACAAUCUCGGUGCUUGUGAUGUUCUUGCCAAGAAGCAGAUUCCCUCGCAGAUUCCCAUUUCGCUAAAUUAAUGCGGGCCAAACGUAUUGCUUUCCUGUCUUUUACAUUAAUAAGAAAGCAUAGGUGCUGAUUUGAAACACGUCCAUCAGGUUCCAUGCAUGUAGCUUUGCGAUUUGUGAGCAAAAAUUAAAAGUUAAACUACCUAUGUUUUUAAUACUUUCUGUGCAACUCAAAACCACAUUCACAAAUAUAUUCUCCAGCAAAGAAACGUUUCUUUACGGAUUGUUAAUCCGCAUUUGAAGGCAUGCUUAUGCCUUCAAAGGUCAGAGGUCUUUCACAUGCAGAAUAGCAGAGACUACUGUCAUUGACAUCCUUUGUCACAAAAUUAUGAUGGCAUAUUGGACAGCUAUGUUGGAUAAGGCACUUCCUUAAUAAAUAGCCUGACACAUAAGUUCAUGCAGACUAAGUUUUGUUCAUUUGUUUUGUAGUCGGUAUCUUCAACUGCUUGGAUUAGUGGUGGGCUUGUCUGAUCAUUUCCUGCAGAUAAAUCAGAUUGGCUAGAGUGAAAUGCAAUCAAAUAGUGUAAAUACUACAACAGUGAAAUGUAAAUACAACAGUGUAAUUGGGG